UCUUAUCUUUCUUAAAGCCUGAAGUUCUGAAGCAAUAUGUUAGUAAGAUGGAUGAAGAGAUUAGAAAGCAUUUCGAGAUGCAUUGGCGCGGCAAGAAAACUGUUUUGGUCAGUGAAUUUUAUCUAAAAAAAGCUAAACUCCACUGAUUAUAUAUAUCACAAGUAAUAUUUUGUGUUUUUGCAGCUUUGAUGCCUUUUAUAUCUGAUUUAUCUCUUGACAACAUAGGCAAUGCCAUCGAUUAAGACCCUCACCUUCAAUAUUAUGAGCUCGCUUAUUAUUGGGAUAGAGGAAAGUGCAAAAAGAGACAUACUCCUACAGCUCUUCGAACAACUAAUGGAGGGUGUUCUAUCAGUACCAUUCAAUUUUCCCUUCACACGAUUCAAUCGAAGCCUCCAAGCAAGUGGGAAAAUCAGACCGAUUUUAGAGGAUCUUAUCCGAGAAAAAAGAGCUGCACUGGAGCAUGGAACUGCCUUUCCUCAACAAGAUCUUAUCACGACCUUGCUUAGUCUCCGAAACGAGGAGAAUUCAGCAGUAUUAACUGAUGAGGAAAUUAUAGAUAAUGCAAUCGUGAUAAUGAUAGCAGGCUAUGACACCUCCUCCGUCCUCCUCAGUUUGUUGAUCAGGCUUUUAGCCGAUGAUCCAUCUAUUUAUGCCAGCAUUCUUCAAGGUAUGUAACUAAAUUUAUUCAAUAAAAACCAAAUAAUAUUGCAAGAAAUCAUAGCAAACACUACGAUUUGAGAUUGCAGAACAAGCAGAGAUUUCCAAGAAUAAAGCCUCUGGGGAGCUCUUAACAUGGGAUGAUCUCACAAGAAUGAAACAUACAUGGAGUGUAGCAUCGGAGACCCUAAGGAUGACCCCUCCUGUAUUUUUUAUCUUCAGGAAGGUUCUCAAAGAUUUGAAUAUGAAGGGUACCUGAUACCCAAAGGAUGGCAGGUGUGAUAUGAUUCUGAGUUUGCAUACCUUAUCAUUAAUAUAGUUAACCAAACCACUUCAAAACAUACAUAAUGCUGUACAAAGUUACCACUUUUUUGACUCAGGUAAUGUUGUCGACCAUCAUGACACAUAUGGAUGACAGCAUCUUCCCACAUGCAUCAAGAUUUGAUCCAGAACGUUUCCAGAAUAAAGCAUCAGUCCCGCCGUAUAGUUUUGUAUCAUUCGGGGGAGGAGCACGCAUAUGUCCUGGAUUUGAAUUUGCAAGACUUGAAACUCUGAUCACAAUACAUUACCUGGUGAACAGGUUCGUUUGGAAGCUCUGUCACCCUGGCAUUUCUUUUUCAAGAGAUCCAUUUCCACUCUUCAAGGAUGGACUGGAGAUAGAAAUUGAGCCAAGGACCCCACUGUGAUAGAUAACUAAAUGCAUGCUCUAAUGUAUAUAUGCUCUCUGUCCUUCAAUUUGCAGAAUAUUCUGUUGAAUAAUUACUUAAAGUUGAAUCCAGAUAUGAGGGAACUUCCAUCUGUGUGUUUGUAGCAUUGCUAAUUGCCGAGCAAUUUCAGAUUUCCUUUUUUUUCAAGUUAAUGAUGUAGGGAAUCGAACAGCCGGAUGUGAAUAUGUUGUAACUGGAGCACGCGGAAAGCUUAGGGUGAUCCUUAAGCAUGGUUAUAGGUUUUCUCAACAAGGGAGAGAGAUCGAAAUCCUCUCUUUCUCGAGAUCCCCUGAAUCGCCGCAUCCCCUCUCUCCCGCAACGGGGCUAAAGCUCACGGUCCGGUUGAAUCACUAAACCGGCGACACGUUUAUGGAUCAAUGAGACAAUCUAAAUAGCUAAACUAUGCUAUUGAUUUUAGGGGGUGUGAAAAUGGAGAGAGACUUGUUAGGAUUUUUCACAGUUUUGGAUAGUUUCAAGGCAUAUGUGGAUCCUGCUCCCCGCAUCAUCAAGAACUUUCUUGCUUCUCAAGCUGGACAAAUAAGUUUGAUGAAUGCAUAGACAUUUUUUAGUUUCUCAGACACAAAAACUCUAUGAACAGAACCCAUUAAUUAAAGUAAAAAAAAGAAUGAAGAGGAUGUGAUAGAAAAAUCGUUCAAGUGGAUGUUACACUACGAGGAAAUUGGAAAAAAAAAAAAAGCAACGGAAACACCAGGAAAAUAUUUCAUCACUGUUUACUAUAAAAAUUACAACGAAAAAUUUCCAGAAAAAUAAUGAUGUGGCAUUUGCAGAAGGGUUUGGACACUGAUAUGGCUAUCUUUAUUUUCCUUGCAUGCCAACACAGUGUCUUCGUCUUCAUCUGUGGACACUUUAAUUGUUCUGUUCAUCAUAAAGGAAGAUGCUGGGAGGUUGGCUCCAGCCUCCACUUUUGACCUCUGUAUAUCAAACAAAUUAUAUGGGACAGUGACCGGAAAUGAGAGGGCCGAUAGGCCUUGGCAAAGAAUUGGCUACCUCCAUUCUCAAUUAUUGGCAAUACGUAAUUAACAUUACUGUAACUUUGAUGUUAAUUGCUCCCCAGAGGCAAGCAUAUCUUUUGUUUCACCUCAGCAAGUUCUUUUUUUAGUUACAGUAAUGUUAAUUAAGUAUUGCCAAUAGAUAGGUAGGCAUGCGAUUUUCGAGUUUUUUUAGGGAUUAUUUCAACUUACAUCGUUGGAUGAUUUAAUACUCUUAUAAUGACACUAAAUUUUCCAUGUAAUUUUCAUAUUUCUUAUAAUCCUGUAUACAUAGAAAUGGGUUUUUUUUAUUAUUAUUUUUAUUAAAGGCAAGUAAAUAUAUCUGAUAAAAAAUAUAUAAAGCUGGAGAACCAACAAGUUUAGGAUCUUUUAUUUUUUGAUUUCAUAAUUUAAAGGAUUCAAUCUAUGUAUUAUGUAUUAGUGUGUUUGUUGGCAUCAAACAAACUCGAUUAAUAUCUAAAUUAUAGGCUUGUAGAAAAACAAAAAGUUUAUUUUUUUAAACUCUACGGAUUAGAGACUGGCAAGUUAGGAUUUUGAGAAAUCCUAACCCAUCGGUCUAUUGGUUAGUCUAAACCAGCUGACUGGUUGGUUUAUGUAAUGAUCAACCGGUUGACCUUGCAGUAGUAGUUAAUCAGGUCUAUUAGAUUCAUUCAGUUUAGGUUAUGUUUAGAAUCAAUCAAGUGAAUCAGUUCAGCUUUAUUAUUAUGAUUUGAUCUCUAAGUCUAGGGUUUUUAUAUUUUAUAUUAUGUUGCUUUGAGUUAUUGUUUUAGUGUUUUUUAUAUUUAUUAUAGGUUUUAUUGACAUUCCUCCUAGUAAGUCUUAGAAAUCUUUGAUUUUGAAUUCGUUUAAUUUUUUGAGUGAGUUGAAUCAUUUCUAUUAUGUAUUACACACACACAUAUAUAUAUAUAUAUAUAUAUAUAUAUAUAUAUAUUUGUGUGUGUGUGUGGGAGGCCAUUUCAUACACUAUUGACACCCUAAUCACCCGCUAAAAAAUAAAUAUCAUGUACACACAAGCUAAUAACUGUUAGCACGAUUUAGCUUUAAAUUUAAAAAAUAAAUUGAUGAAUUAACACGGUAAUAAAAAUAUUUUAUGAAAUAAUAUAUUUUUAAUUUUUCACAAUCACAAUCAUUAUAUAUAUUAAAUAUUAUAUUUUUAAAUUGCAAUAAAUAAUUGAUAUUAUAAUUAAAAAAUAAAAUUUUAAUUAAUUUGAUGAUUUUCAACUACAACAUCAAUUAAUUGUUGUUUCAAAUCAAUUAUCAUCUAUUUUAGUUAAAGUUUAUACUCAAAGAAAUUUAUCAAAGCUUGCUGUACAAUCUGUUUUAAUGCAGACACGACAUUCUAUAAAAUUUAUUGUGGUCUCUUUGAACGCAAUUAAAGAAUCAGUUUGUCUGAUAUUUACUAAAUAUUAUUUUUUUGAAGCGUUACAUGUGAAAGGUAAAAAUAUAUUAGUUUUAAAAAAUACAAACAAUAUUAUUAUGUAAUUUUUAUGUAUUUAUUAUUGUGCUAAUUAAAAAAAAUCGUAAAAAUAUUGUACAGUGAAACCUACCGAACCUCGAACAAGGGAGCUUGGUCAUGGGAACCGUGAAUCCCAUACCCAACUGUUGUUUCCUGUUUUCUAUGCUCGAUCAUGUGUGUGUAUUUCCCUUUUGUUUAUUUUUCUUUUUUAAUUUUUUCUUUAUUUUUAAUUUAGCCCUUGAUCUUUUAAUUCUGCUAUAUUCAGUCAAUUUUGAAUCGAUUUUUCAAGACUUCUUUCAAGUAAGCCCUGGAUCACAUUCGUAAUCAUCAUUCAAUAUUGAGACCUUUUACACUUCAGCUCUUGGAUGUUUAAUUUGUACAAUUUUUUUCUUCAAUUAGGCUCCUAAUGGAAUUAAUAUGGUCGUCAUAUUCCUGCGCCUGUUUUAUUUUGAUCCUUGAUCUUUUAAUUAUUCUAAUUUUGAUCAAAUAUUUUGACUCUAAAUCUCAAUCUUCCUCUUCAAUUGAGCUCUUAAUCGAACCAAUUAGAUCCUCAAAUUUCAACAGCCCUUCCAUUUUGUUUUUUGGUCCUUUAGAUUUUUAAUUUUGGUCAAAUUGACUCUAAAUUUUAAGUUUCUCUUUAAUUAAGCCCCCAAUUGAGUUAAUUGAAAUUCCAAACUUUUCCAUCUCUUUUGUUGUGGUCAUUGACUUGUAAAUUUAGCCAAUUUUUCCUUUAAUUCAAAAUUUUCUCCUCGGUUAGGCUCUCAACUAAAAUAAUAGGACUUCAAAUUUUAAUUUUUUAUCUUUUUCAUUUUGGUCAUUGGUCUUUUAUCUCUUUAAACUAUUAUCAAUUUUAACACUUUCUUUAAUUAAACCCCAAAUUGCAUACCCACAUAACUUUUUGAUCAACUACAAAAUAAAUUUUUAUCUAGUUUCAACCCGGAGUUAUAUUUUAUUUUUAAAAUUCAACAUCAUCGCAAUGUAUUUUUUUUUUUCAAAAUUCUAUAUAUUUCAUCUGGAAUUCAGUUAGUAUAUACUAAUAAAACAAUUCUAUUAGUAUAUACUGACGGUUUUACCGAUCGAUUUAUAUCCGUCAAUAAAUAUCACCGUAAAUUGCCAACAAAAAAUUUUCAUCCAUAAUUUUGUUGGUUUUAAUUAAAUUUCUAGUAGUGUUUUAAGAUGUUUAAUAAGCUAGAUUUAUUGGCUAAUUAAGCAAGCAUUGAGAAGAGUUGUUUUGUGCAAUUUGCUUACUUGUUCACGAGGGUUUAGGGUUUUAGGGUUUAGGGUUUAGGGUUUAGGGUUUAGAUAAUUUCAUUGUUGAUAUUUUAAAUUGUUUGAUGUAUAUUUAUAGUCAGAUUUUAAUAAUAAAUAUUUUUAAAGUAUUUUUUUUAUUAAAAAUAAAUCAAAAUAAUUUUCUUCAUAUUCUUUUUUUUUUGUUUUUAACAGCACCAUAAUAAAAUCAUCGAAUAACUUGUUUAGAAUCAAAUCAUGAGUGGAAUUUAAUUCAAUUUCAUAUAAGGAUUGAAUUGAAUUAAUAAUAUAUUAUAAUUCUUAAAUCCCGUAAUUGAAUUUAAUUUAAACACACAUGGAGAUGAUGAGUUGGAUUAGCUAUUUUGCUUUUAAUUUAAAAAUAAAUUUGAUACAAAAUCAACAAAAUAGAUAAAACGUGGAUCUGCAUAUCAUUGGAUUCACCGAAUCAAGUCAUUUUAUUUUUUUUAGUUUUUCCUGAAUUUGAAGUCCACUACGGCUUUGAGAAUCCGUGAAGUAAAGAGGGCCGAAGCCAUCAAUCUUGCAAGAACCCUACUUUGUAGUAUUUCUGAUAUUUUCAUUAUUAUUCUGAAGACUGCAAGAGUGACUGAUUUUGCCUGAUGGGAUCGUAACAGGGAAUGGCAGGACCAGUGGGCCAGGACAAAGAAUUUACAAAAAGAAGAUAAAAUACUUAAUUAACAUUACUGUAACUUUGAUGUCGAUGCCCGGCCAAUCCUAAGGCAAGCAAUUUUAUCUUAUUGAUAUAGAUAAAAAAAUCGUUUGGGAACGCGGUUGAAACUGUAUUUUCAUAAAAUUUAAAUUAUUUUUCUUGUUAAAAUUUAAUAUAAUUUAUAUAUUUUAGAUCAUUUUAAUAUAUUGAUGUUAAAAAUAAUUUUUAAAAAAUAAAAAAAUAUCAUUGAUAUAUAUUUCGACACGAAAAAUUAUUUAAAAAGAAACCGCUACUAUACUGCCAAACAUACUUAAAAUAGCACGGAAAAUUCAUAGUCACACACAAGAAAUAUAAAAUUAGUUAAAUUAUACAUUAAUUAUUGAUUUUUUUUUAUAAUGUGAUUUAUUUUUAUAAGAGAUUUACAGCUCUUUAAAUAGAUAAAAAAAAUGAAAUUUUAUAAAUAACAAAAAUAAAAAUUUUAAGCCAAAUAAAAAAGUCAAUAUAAAAUUCAAAAUUAAGUUACAAAUAAGAAAAUAAAAAAGAAAAAGAAAAAUAACAAAAUUAAUUAAAACAUCAUCUUUCGAACCUAAUUUAAGAGGUUUUGACAUGAACAAAAAUAACAUCAGAAAUACUUCAAUAACAAGCAACAUAAAAUUUCGCUAAUAAAAUCACCAUCCAAAAAAUUCUAAAUUUUUUACUGAAUAUUUAUUUUUAUAUAAUAUAUUGAAAUACAAAUUAAACAACUUAGUAGGGAAUAUUAAUACACCUUUAUCUUGUCAUAAACGGUAUCAUUGAAUUCUCAAUGAUAUUUACUUUAAUCAAGAAGAUAGCUCCUUUACUCGUGUCUUUAAAAUGGAAUCUGAAAUUUGGCUAUGAAUCCAUCAUCAUUUUCUUCACAAUUCUCCAAUCUUUUCUUUUUUAUCUUUAUUAAUUGAUUGAAUAAUUCUUCAACUUGCCUUUAUAAUUUUAUUAUUACUAGUUGAAUGAUUAAUCCUGUCUCUGUAAAACAAGAGAUGACUCUCUCCUUUUCUCGUGAUGGUACAUCAUUGACUUUAGGAUACAUUUGUGAGAUGGCUCUCUCUUUUUCACUUGUUGGUGCAUUAAAGUCUUUGGGAUACAACCUAAUUUCUUCAUUCUUUAUUUUCAGUGUGUUAGUGAAUGAAUUGAUGGCUGAUUUGAUAUAUUUGUUUUUUAUUUUAAAAAUAUUUUAAAAAAAUUAAUUUUUUUUUAAUUUUUUAUUAACUUCAAAUUAAUAUGUUUUUAAUGUUUUUAAAUUAUUUUGAUAUGCUGAUAUAAAAAUAAUAUUUAAAAAAUAAUAAAAAAUUAUUAACAUGUAUUUUAACAUGAAAUAUUAUUUGAAAAACAACCAUAAUCACACUUCAGUGUAAUACUCUAAAACAAGUUGAGAAAGUACUAUUAUUUCCCAUAUUUUUUUUAUCCUUUACUAACUAUGAAUAUUUUAGAAAUAAUUCUUUGAUAUAAUAGGAAUCAUAUAAUUAUAAUAAUUUUAUAAUUUUUCAUAUAAAAUAUUUUUGUUUAUAAGCUUUAUUUUACUUUAAAUUUAUUAAUAUAAUAUUAUAUGAAUAUUAAAGAUAAAUUAAAUAUUUAUUAAUAAUAAACAUAUAUUUCCAUAAAUAUAAUAAUAUCACGUGAAUCUAAUCUAUUGGCUAUAAUUAUAUUAAAGUAACAACCCAUCAACCCGUAUAAGUGCGCUAAUUGCAUGGCAUCAAUCUUCAGCAGCUAUGAUGAUUCAAGUGUUCUUUUUCUUGCUUGUUUUCCUUCUCUCUGUCUACCUUCUCCUCACCAAAAAUGCUUCCAAAAGGCUUCCACCAGGUUCUUUGGGUCUUCCCAUCAUAGGUCAAAGCCUCAGCUUCCUAAGUGCCAUGCGCAAAAACACAGCAGAAGAAUGGCUGCAGGAUAGAAUAAGAAAAUAUGGCCCUGUUUCGAAAAUGAGCAUCCUCGGGGCCCCUACUCUGUUCAUUCAUGGCCAGGCAGCAAACAAGUUCUUCUUCAGUUGCGACGGCAACACUCUGGACAGUAAGCAGCCAUCGUCGAUAAGUAGGGUUUGCGGCGAGAGGAAUAUCCUGGAACUAAGUGGCCAUGACCAUAAGCGCGUAAGGGGAGCUCUCUUGUCUUUCUUAAAGCCUGAAGUUCUGAAGCAAUAUGUUAGUAAGAUGGAUGAAGAGAUUAGAAAGCAUUUCGAGAUGCAUUGGCACGGCAAGAAAACGGUUUUGGUCAGUGAAUUUUAUCUAACAAUUGCUAACCUCCACUGAUUACAUAUAUCACAAGUAAUAUUUUGUAUUUCUGCACCUUUGAUGCCUUUUAUAUCUGAUUUAUCUCUUGACAACAUAGGCAAUGCCAUCGAUUAAGACCCUCACCUUCAAUAUUAUGAGCUCGCUUAUUAUUGGGAUAGAGGAAAGUGCAAAAAGAGACAUACUCCUACAGCUCUUCGAACAACUGAUGGAGGGUGUUCUAUCAGUACCAUUCAAUUUUCCCUUCACACGAUUCAAUCGAAGCCUCCAAGCAAGUGGGAAAAUCAGACCGAUUUUAGAGGAUCUUAUCCGAGAAAAAAGAGCUGCACUGGAGCAUGGAACUGCCUUUCCUCAACAAGAUCUUAUCACGACCUUGCUUGUCUCCGAAACGAGGAGAAUUCAGCAGUAUUAACUGAUGAGGAAAUUAUAGAUAAUGCAAUCGUGAUAAUGAUAGCAGGCUAUGACACCUCCUCCGUCCUCCUCAGUUUGUUGAUCAGGCUUUUAGCCGAUGAUCCAUCUAUUUAUGCCAGCAUCCUUCAAGGUAUGUAACUAAAUUGAUUCAAUAAAAACCAAAUAAUAUUGCAAGAAAUCAUAGCAAACACUACGAUUUGAGAUUGCAGAACAAGCAGAGAUUUCCAAGAAUAAAGCCUCUGGGGAGCUCUUAACAUGGGAUGAUCUCACAAGAAUGAAACAUACAUGGAGUGUAGCAUCGGAGACCCUAAGGAUGACCCCUCCUGUAUUUUUUAUCUUCAGGAAGGUUCUCAAAGAUUUUGAAUAUGAAGGGUACCUGAUACCCAAAGGAUGGCAGGUGUGAUAUGAUUCUGAGCUUGCAUACCUUAUCAUUAAUAUAGUUUAACCAAAACACUUCAAAACAUAUAUAAUGCUGUACAAAGUUACCACUUUUUUGACUCAGGUAAUGUUGUCGACCAUCAUGACACAUAUGGAUGACAGCAUCUUCCCACAUGCAUCAAGAUUUGAUCCAGAACGUUUCCAGAAUAAAGCAUCAGUCCCGCCGUAUAGUUUUGUAUCAUUCGGGGGAGGAGCACGCAUAUGUCCUGGAUUUGAAUUUGCAAGACUUGAAACUCUGAUCACAAUACAUUACCUGGUGAACAGGUUCGUUUGGAAGCUCUGUCACCCUGGCAUUUCUUUUUCAAGAGAUCCAUUUCCACUCUUCAAGGAUGGACUGGAGAUAGAAAUUGAACCAAGGACCCCUCUGUGAUAGAUAACUAAAUGCAUGCUCUAAUGUGUGUCUUUAUGUGUGUAUAUAUAUAUAUAUAUAUAUAUAUAUAUAUGCACUCUGUCCUUCAAUUUGCAGAAUGUUCUGUUGAAUAAUUACUUAAAGUUGAAUCCAGAUAUGAGGGAACUUCCAUCUGUGUGUUUGUAGCAUUGCUAAUUGCCGAGCAAUUUCAGAUUUCCUUUUUUUUCAAGUUAAUGAUGUAGGGAAUCGAACAGUCGGAUGUGAAUAUGUUGUAACUGGAGCACGCGGAAAGCUUAGGGUGAACCUUAGGCAUGGUUAUAGGUUUUCUCAACAAGGGAGAGAGAUCGAAAUCCUCUCUUUCUCGAGAUCCCCUGAAUCGCCGCAUCCCCUCUCUCCCGCAACGGGGCUAAAGCUGACGGUCCUAGGUGGUGAAUCACUAAACCGGCGGACACAUCUAUGGAUCAAUGAGACCAUCUAAAUAGCUAAACUAUGCUAUUGAUUUUAGGGGGUGUGAAAAUGGAGAGAGACUUGUUAGGAUUUUUCACAGUUUUGGAUAGUUUCAAGGCAUAUGUGGAUCCUGCUCCCCGCAUCAUCAAGAACUUUCUUGCUUCUCAAGCUGGGACAAAUAAGUUUGAUGAAUGCAUAGACAUUUUUUAGUUUCUCAGACACAAAAACUCUAUGAACAGAACCCAUUAAUUAAAGUGAAAAAAAGAAGAAGAGGAUUUGAUAGAAAAAUCGUUCAAGUGGAUGUUACACUAUUAGGAAAUUGAAAAAAAAAAGCAACGGAAACACCAACGAAAAAUAUUUCAUCACUGUUUACUAUAAAAAUUACAACGCAAAAUUUCCGCUUGUAAUUUCCAGCAGAAAUGGUGACGGAAUAAAAAAAAAUCAUCAACAAUUUCGUCGGCAUUUCUAAAGUGUUAAAUUGCUGACAUAAUUCUCAUAAAAGAUUGUAAAAUGAAUUAAAAACCUGACAAUUCUCUCUUCUCCAUCCCCUCCUCUUUAUCUUUUUUCAUUUCAAUUCAAGCCCUAACCCUAUUAAUUUCUUCAAGUUUUCGACAAGCCCCCUCUAAAAUCUGGUCACCCAACCCGCCAAUGCAACCUCCCUCUCUUAAUUCUAUUUAAUAUCAAGCUUCGCUUCAUUAAGAAAAAAAGUCCAUUUAUUUUUGUUGUAACACCCAUUUAUAUUUAAAGUUAAUUUAUUGAAAUUUGUUUAUAGAAUUUAUAGUUUGCAUGUAUAUUUAAGUAUUUUGUUUGUUUUGUAAUUAUAAUUUUAUUAUAUUAAUAUAUAAUUUGUAUUUUAAAAUUUAUUUGGGAUUUUAAAAAAUAGAUUUAAGAUGUUAAUCGAUGAAAUUGAUUGUUUGGGAUUUCUAUAAAGCUAGUAUCCACAUCAAAUAUUGUUUUUUUGCAUGUUGCUUUUUAUGACCUUCGAAUCCCCACCCUGAAAAUCACACAAGCAAUCAUGUUUCGGUUGCUCUACAUCCUUGUUAGUACCACGAAUAAAUUAUUAGAAUUUGUUUUUGCUAAUAACGCACCCGAAUAUGCAAACAUGGUUAAUGCAUAUUCUCUUUAAUAUUGAUUUUGUUGAUGUAAAUAUAUUUCACUUAAUAAAUUUUUUUUUAAUAUUUAUCAAAUAUUUUAUUAAUGAAUGAAAGUAUAGAUAAAGUUCUUAGAACAAAAAUAUUUUGUAAAUAAAAUUAUCAAGUUAUUAUAAUUAUAAGAUUUUUAUUACAUCAAAAUAUUGUUUCUAAAUAUUCUUGGUAAAUAUUCUAUUAAAACUGGAAAUUAAUUAAAGCUAUUAAGACUUGUACAUAUUAUAUUCUUUCCUUUAUGAAAUAAAACAGUUGUUUUCAUAAGUUAAGAUAUGAUCGAGGGAUACCAAUAACUAAUAUGUAGGUUCUUGUUGGAUAACAUGUACACCAAACUAACUCGCAUGAGAAUUAUAUAUGGAAAGAUCACUUGUGUACAUGGAAGGAUUAUAUGACCGUUGUGUAAGUGAUCCUUAAACUUGAAAUUACUAAGUUAUUUUAUAUAGAGAGUAUUAUGUUUUGAUCUUAUUACAUGUUAUCCUUAUCAAAGGUAACAAAUGAGCAGGUAUUAGGUAUGGCAUGAACUAUAUGAAGAUAUUUAAGUAAUCAAAAGAGGAUUCAUCACUUUAGAUGAAUUGGAAAAAAUAUUCCACGUGUUCUCAAAUAAUAUUGAUUGUAAAUUUUUAUAUAAGGUGGAAUGAGAUUCGAAAAGAGUUUUAAAUCUUAUUCAAAUAAUAAAUGACUAUGAUAUUGAAAACAAACAUGAUUUGAUAUAAUAGAAAAAAAUCACCCAUGUUGUAGUUUCCCUCUUUUUUUUUCCUUCGGAAAGAUGAAUGAGAGAUAAGGGUCAAGUUUUUUUCUUUUUUUUCUCUUACGGUUUAGGGUUAUUAGACUUCACACAAUUUCAUAGGUUACAUUCCUUGAUAUAGUUUAACAUGGAAGCUCUAUGGCUGAGCUUUUUGUUUUUUUAGAAUGUGUUUGGCAUUUUAGUAUCUUUUGCUCUUAUAAUUUGAAUUUUUUUAUAAAAAAAAACUCCAAAUUUAUUAUAUAUUUUGAUUAAUCAACAGUGGUUGCAGAUCUGUUUUAAUUGGAUCAUGUGAAAAAGACAUUUAUAGAUUAGUAGACCAGAUCUAAACCUAAAAAGAGUUUUAGCCAUGUCAAACGACUUGUUUGAUAAAAAAGCUCUUAACUUAGAUUAAGAAACCUUAAAUUAGCCUCUCAAGUUUUUUUUUUUUUCAAUUUCAUCUUUCAACAUUAGAUUGAUUGAGAAUUAAGCUUCAUAAUUUGUUACCGUUUGUUUUCUAUUGAGUUAUUUCAAUCUCAUAACCCAGGUUGAGAUUUUGGCAAGUUAACCCGUGUUAACUCAAAUUGUUUUUUAGGUAUUUUUUUAAUUGAUUUUUUCAAUUUCUUCCUUCAACAUUAGGUUUAUUAGGAAUUAAGCUUCGUAAUUUGUUUUGAUUUAUUUUUUUAUAUUAUGUUUAUUAUGAUCUAAUGACUUAGUAUGCAAAUUAACAAGUUAACAUAGAUUGAUCCGAAUUGUUCAAAUAUGUUGUUGUCUCAAUGUUUAUUUAAAAAAAUCUCAUCUUAAAUAUUUAUUUUGAGUCAAAUUAUAUUUUUAAAGGUUAUUUUGGUUGCUUUUGAGCCCGUCAAGGUAAUCAAGUCACAUCAGAUCAAUUCCCAUAUGAUUUUAAAUUUUUUUCUGCUAAAAAAAAUAUUAGUAAUGCCAAGAUAUUUUUUUACUUUAAUUUUUUUAUCUCAUCCGCAGUAUAGCAAGAGCCAAUUAUCUAGUAAUUAAUUAAACAUCUAAAAGAACUAAUUCCCUUAGUUAGCAUCAUUAUUCAUAUGAAUUGUAAAAUUGCUCCUCAAUAAUUUAUUUAUUUUUAUUUUCAUCUUUUUUUAAAAAAAAAUUAUCCUUAGAUUUUGUUUUAUUUAAUUCUUUCUUGAUAUAAUUUCAUGAGAUAAAGUUUUAAAUUGUAGUAGAAAAUAAAAUUAAAAGAUAGAAUAUUACAUUAUAAAUCAUGGAGAAAAUACAUGGCCAAUCUUUUUAGAAAUUUUAUUUUGAUCUAAAAAUUUAUUUUAUUUAUUUUUGUAGUCUUUGAGUUUGAGAAAAGAGAAAGAAACUUGUUGAAAAGCGGUAAAAAAUAGAAAAAAAUAUCGAUUAACCACAUUUAGCCACACAAAAAAAAAAUCUUUGUCAAUAGAUUUAUCUUCUCAAGAAUAAUUUAAUGAAGAUAGUUUGUUUAAAAAUAUAACAAAAAAAAAUAGAUUGAGUUUUUAUUUAUUUAUUUUAAUUCAAUUAAUUUUUAUAUUUUAAAGUGAUUUUAGAAUAUGUGGGGGUUAUCAAGAGCUUUUUUAAGAUGUGCAUUAAAGUGAAAUGAGUUAAAAUUGAGUUUUUGGAAUAUGAAAACAUGUACCUUUUGUGAUAAUUAUUGGAGGCGGCUGGAAAAAUACCAAUCGCCUUCCCCUAUAGACAACUUGUUGCUCGCAUUGAAAAGAAGAAAAUACAAAAGCGGACAGAGACAUUAUGGUUCACAUAAUUACUAAAGCAUUGGGAUGAGAUUAUUACAUCUUACAUCGUUAGAUGCUUUAAUACUCUGUUCUCAAAGGGCUCACUUUGUUGUUUUGUUGAUUAUUGUAAAAUCUCUACGCAUUUUCAACGAUUCCUGUGUCCACCUGUAUAAUACAUAGACUCUGUAUUGUCGGGAUUUCUAAGGUUUCUCAAUGAGUAAUAAUCUAAAAAUAGUUGUCUUGCAACGUUAUGUACAUGAGAGCUACACCAGAAAGGAAAGAGGAUCCAUGCACCUGAGCUGGUCCUUGGAAGUUACUCGGUGAUAAGAGAUGUCUGCUAAUGCGAUUAUGCCACCUUUUUUAGUACAGAAUCUCCAAAAGCUCUAGACAUUGCUAAGCCUAGAGAAUCUUCAUGAGGUGUAGCCAGACUCGAUGGACGUGUAGCUCUUCCUCUAGUUCAAGUACUCUGCCAUUACAUUUUCUUAUUUUUUCUGCUUCGCCUGGAUUAUAAGAGGAUCCAAUUGAAAAAAUGAGUUGCAUAUGAUCAUGAAAAAUCUGUAGUUAAUUGAACAGGCACGAUUCCAUUCUGAUCAUUGAUUCUGCCCAACGCUAGCUAGCUGCUCUUAAGUCUCGAUCCAAGACUUGCUAUAAUAAGAUCGUCACCUGUUUUCAUGAGCCCAGCUCGUGGGUUUGAUGAUUUAAGGAUUAGGGUGGCUAGAGCCGCAGCUUCUGGUGGUUGUUGAGGUUGUGGAGUGAGGUUGGUUGUGGUGAUCGUAAAGGGGUAGGGUUUUAGCGGCUGUGAUUUUUUGAGAGUUGAAAGAAGUAAAGAAUAAGCAUGUACCAUAUAAUUCAAUCACUCAUACUGAUGACAUAACUUCCAUAAACACAAUCUUAAUUCGUACAAAUUGCGCAAACCAAUAAAAAAAAAAGAGAGUACAAGGUCCGUCCUGAAACACAACAGGACAAGAUCGAUGAGACUGGUAACCAAUAAGUGGCUAUUUUCUUCUAUAUAGAAAGUAGAGCAGAGAUAUCAUGGUGAAGACAACUCCUUCCAGCAAUAUAAACUGACCAGAUGAUCAGGAUCGAUCGUGUGCUUGUUUAGUGAAGCCAUCUACUCUUGUGAGGAAGACAAGGCCAAUAUGUCCGGAUCUUGUUGGAAGUGAAGCAUAUCAAUUUCCUUUAAGGUCAUCCAUGCCUCAAUUCCGUCUCCAAAUUUGUCGUCCUUCAGAAUACUAACAUCUAUAGGAAAAUUCAUUGCACUCAUCCAUGCAGGCUUUCCCCAGCCAAAGUUUGCUUCCUCCAUACCCAGCCUACACCAGCUUGAGAACUUGAAUGUAUCUACUUCACCCUUGUUCAAUUCUUCAAACAACUCUUUAUGGUACUUAGUUACCAUUGAAAACACAUCGUCGCUGUUUACUGCAUUUGCGCAAUCUGAAAUGGCUUUCCUCUUAGCAUCCCUCAGGAGACUCGCAAUGUCACUCAACUCUAACCUAUUGCUCUCACCAUUUGCAUUGAAUCUAGAAAUGAAAGGCAUAUACAUGUUCCCACAAGCAUUUUCAGGUAAAGGCAUAGUCACCUUUCCUCUCAGCGUCAUUAGCUGGCGCACUGAUGAUGCUCUCAGGUGUCCGUGCUGUGCUUUAACUGAACCAAUGAGAGCCUUCCAUAUAAGUGCUGUGACCACCUCUAAGCGCGAAUGAUGGUACUUGACUCCUGAAUCGGUGCCACCACUAAUUUUAGAUUUCAGCUUGUCUAUGGCUUCCUUGUUAAACACAAAUACUUUUGUGACAAUCUUAGGUUGAACUUUUGGUACUGCUGGUGGAAAAUUGAGACGUAAAUCUCUUUGUGGGAAGAGAAAUGGGCAAUCAAAUCUUGGACGACGAACCUGAUCACUUAUCCCACGUUCUCGGAAUGCUGUAGCCCAUGCAUUGAUGAAUGUGGAGAUUGUUGGUAUAUCAGCUAACCUGUGCGAAGUGAGCAAGCCGAUCGCUAAACCUCCACACUUAAACUUGUUGAUUUGGAUGGCUAAUAAACGACCAGUGUCUGAUGCAGUUACACAAGGAACAAAAUGAUCCAGCAGAUCAAGAUUGCUAUUGGGGUCUUGUUGGAUAAUUUGUGUGAGGUCUACCCCAUCUACUUUGGCUUCCAGGAACUCCACCCCUUCAUCAUUACAAUCAACUGAGAGAUUAUCUUCGAUGUAUCUUCCUGCUAGAGGGUAAAAGAGGGUUAAUAUUUCGGACAAAGAUUUCUCUAGAUCUUCGAUGUUAUUGACAUGGUGGUUGUUAGGAUAGUAGAAAAUAUUGGGUACAUUCAGUGAAGGAGCAAGCUGAUCGAGAAAUGAUAUGUUCAGAUUCUGAAGGUGAGGAGGAGUUUGAACCGAUGGUUUUAUUAGCUUUCUAGAUAUGAGCUGAACCUCCAUUGCCAGCUUGCUGUAUUUCGCCUCGAUCAUUGCCUUUCCCCCUUUUAAUAGCUACGUACUGAGAUGGUAGGUGGAAGUUGAGUAGGAACUUGAAAGUUUGAUGAAGUGAUCAACCUAAUCUCUUAGAUUAUUUGUUUAUUGUUUCCAUGUAUUUCCUUUGACUUAAUUUGGUAUAGAACUUAUGUAUGCUUGUGUAGGAAGAAAAUCUAACGGUUCAUAAAGGUAUAGAACUUGUGUAUGCUUGUGUAGGAAGAAAAUCUAACGGAUUCAUUUAUGAACCAGUGAAAUACAAUAUGUUAAGUCUAAGAUUUUGUGCUAACAGAUUCAUUUAUUUUCAGCUUUAUUGUUGUUUCAACACCACGAUAUCCUCAGAUUCAUUUAUUUUCAGCUUAAUUUUAGAUUUUAUUCCUAAUUCUUUUUCUUUUUUAUCUAGGAUUCUAAUUUUUCUACUUUGUAAAGUUCAGUUUUUUUCACCUAUUUAAGAAGUUAUAAAAUUUAUCAGAGAGGCAUAAUACAUGUCCGAGAUAAUUAUUCAGAAAUAAAAUACAAAUCCAUCUACCCCAUUUGAACUUCGCUUUUGCAAUUCCCAGUCAAUCAUAAAGAAAGUUCAAUGCGUCAAUUUUGAAAACCCAAAUUGGAAACGGAAACGAGAGAUGAAGACAAGUUCAACGCGUCAAUUUUGCAAGAACCCUGUUUCUGGUAUUUUCUUUAUUCUUCUGAACACAGCAAGAGUGACUGACUUUAUCCUGGAAGUGUAAUGAUGAUGUGGCGUCCUCUGGGGCGUGGUCUGGUGGUAAAAGACUUGAGAUCUACAUGGCAGGUCUCGAGUUCGAGUCAGAACAUAUAAUUCUUAUAAAAAUCUGGAACAGCUGAUGUUUUACUCACUCACCUAUACCACAAAGUAUGCUUUCCGAAAGAUGAGGUUUCUUCAAAUAAAAAAGUAAUAAUAAUGCGGCAUUUGCAGAAGGGUUUGGACACUGAUAUGGCUAUCUUUAUUUUCCUUGCAUGCCAACACAGUGUCUUCGUCUUCAUCUGUGGACACUUUAAUUGUUCUGUUCAUCAUAAAGGAAGAUGCUGGGAGGUUGGCUCCAGCCUCCACUUUUGACCUCUGUAUAUCAAACAAAUUAUAGGGGACAGUGACCGGAAAUGAGAGGGCCGAUAGGCCAUGGCAAAGAAUUGGCUACCUCCAUUCUCAAUUAUUGGCAAUACUUAAAUUAACAUUACUGUAACUUUGAUGUUAAUUGCUGCCCAGAGGCAAGCAUAUCUUUUGUUUCACCUCAGCAAGUUCUUUUUUUAGUUACAGUAAUGUUAAUUAAGUAUUGCCAAUAGAUAGGUAGGCUUGCGAUUCUCGAGUUUUUUUAGGGAUUAUUUCAACUUACAUCAUUGGAUGAUUUAAUACUCUUAUAAUGACACUAAAUUUUCCAUGUAAUUUUCAUAUUUCUUAUAAUCCUGUAUACAUAGAAAUGUGGUUUUUUUUUUUAAUUAAAAGCAAGUAAAUGUAUCUGAUAAAAAAUAUACAAAAUUGGAGAAUCAACAAGUUUAGGGUUAUUUUUUUUUAAUGUGGCUAGAGGUUGUUUUUUUUUUUUUCAUGUAAUUUUCACAUUUCUUUAUGUGAGUUGAUGUUAUUUCUUUUUAUUUUCUUUUCUUCUCCUUACUUUUCUCACUGUGGUGACUUUCCUCUCUCACUACAAAGAGAUUUUGGUUUUGGACUUGGAGAAUUUGGGUUCAAGAAGGGUUAAAGAAAACAAAUAGGCAUUACCUCUCCUUACUGUUUACAAUUAGAGAAUUGAAUGUGGAAGAGCCAAAGAAGAGUUGGGCUUUUAUUUUGAAUUUUUGUUUUCAUAAUUUAAGGGAUUCAAUCUAUGUAUUAGGAUGUUAGUUGGACUGAAACAAACUCGAUUAAUGUCUAAAUUAUAGGCUUGUAGAAGAACAGAAGGUUUAUUUUUUUAGGCUCUGUGAAUUGGAGACUAGCAGGUUAGGAUUUUGGGAAAUCCUAGCCAACCGAUCAAUCGGUUGGUCUAAACUAGCUGACUGAUUGGUUUGUGUAAUGGUCGACCGGCUAACCCUACAAUAGUAGUUAAUCGGUCUAUUAUGUUCGAAAUCAAUUAAGUGAAUCGGUUCAGCUUUAUUAUUAUGAUUUCGUUUCUAAGUUUAGGGCUUUCAUAUUUUAUAUUAUGUUACUUUGAGUCAUUUUUUAGUUUUUUUUUUAUAUUUGUUAUAGGUUUUAUUGACGUUCCUCCUACCAAGCCUUAGAAAUCUUCGAUUUUGCAUUCGUUUAUUUUUUUUAUUUUAUUUUUCGAGUGAGUGGGAUAAUUUCUAUUAUGUAUUAUACAUACAUAUAUAGGAGGCCAAUCCAUACACUACUGACACCCUACUCACGAACUAGAAAAUAAAUAUCAUGUACAUACAAGCUAAUAACUCUAUGUUAGCAUGAUUUACCUUUAAAUUUAAAAAAUAAAUUGAUGAAUUAACAUUAACUAAAAACAUUUUGUGAAAUAAUAUAUUUUUGGUUUGUCACAAUUAUAAUCAUGAUAUAUAUUAAAUAUCAUAUUUUUAAAUUGCAAUAAAUAAUUGAUAUUAUAAUUAAAAAGUAAAAUUUUAAUUAAUUUGAUGAUUUUCAACUACAACAUCAAUUAAUUGUUGUUUCAAUAUCAAUUUUCAUCUAUUUUAGUUGAAGUUUAUACUCAAAGAAAUUUAUCAAAGCUUGCUGUACAAGCUGUUUUAAUGCAGACACGACAUUCUAGAAAAUUUACAGUGGUUUCUUUAGACGCAAUUAAGGAAUCAGUUUGUCUGGGUAAUAUGAUAUUUACUAAAUAUUAUUUUAAAAAAAUACAAACAAUAUUAUUAUGUAAUUUUUUUUUUAUUAUUGUGCUAAUUAAAAAAAAUCGUAAAAAAAUAGUACAGUGAAAGCUACCGAACCUCGAACAAGGGAGCUUGAUCAUGGGAACCGUGAAUCCCAUACCCAACUGUUGUUUCCUGGUUUCUAUGCUCGAUCAUGUGUGUGUCUUUCCAUUUUGUUUAUUUUUCUUUUUCAAUUUUUUCUUUAUUUUUAAUUUAGCCCUUGAUUGUCAUAUUCAGUCAAUUUUGGAUUGAUUUUUCAAGACUUCUUUCAAGUAAGCCCUGGAUAACAUUCAUAAUCAUCCUUCAAUAUUGAGACCUUUUACACUUCAGCUCUUGGAUGUUUAUUUUGUACAAUUUUUUUCUUCAAUUAGGCUCCUAAUGGAAUUAAUAUGGUCGUCAUAUCCUAGCAUCUAUUUCAUUUUGAUCCUUGAUCUUUUGAUUAUUCUAAUUAUGAUCAAAUAUUUUGACUCUAAAUUUCAAUCUUCCUUUUCAAUUGAGCCCUUAAUCAAACCAUUUAAAUCCUCAAAUUUCAAUGGCCCUUCCAUUUUGUUCUUUGGUCCUUUAAUUUUGGUCAAAAGGACUCCAAAUUUUAAGUUUUUCUUCAAUUAAGCCCCUAAUUGAGUUAAUUGAAAUUCCAAACUUUUCCAUCUCUUUUAUUGUGGUCAUUGACUUGUAAAUUUAGCCAAUUUUUCCCUUAAUUCAAAAUCUUCUCCUCAAUUACGCUCUCAACUAAAAUAAUAUGACUUCAAAAUUUAAUUUGCCAUCCUUUUUAUUUUGGUUAUUGGUCUUUUAUUUCUUUUAGCUAUGAUCAAUUUAAACACUUUCUUCAAUUAAACCCCAAAUUACAUACCCACAUAACUUGUUGACCAACUACAAAAUAAAUUCUUGUCUAAUUACAGCCCGAAGUUAUAUUUUAUUUUUAAAAUUCCACAUCAUUGCACAACCUUUUUUUUUCUUUUCAAAAUUCUAUAUAUUUCGUUUGACAUUCUGUUGGUAUAUACCAACAGAAUAAUUCUAUCAGAAUAUAUCAACGGUUUUACCGAUUGAUUUACAUUCGUCAGUAAAUAUCACCAUAAACUAUCAACAUAAAAAUUUCAUCGAUAAUUCCAUUGAUUUUGGUCAAAUUUCUAAUAAUGUUUCAAGAUGUUUAAUAUUACUGAGAAGCAUAAUCAUACUGUAGAUUUAUUGGCUAAUUAAGCAAGCAUGGAGAAGAAUUGUUUUGUGCAAUUUGCUUCCUUGUCCACCAUAAGUUUAUUGAAAGUUUCUAAAUACUUAGAGUUUUUUUGUUUAGAUAAUCUCAUUGUUGAUAUUUUAAAUUGUUUGAUGUAUAUUUAUAGUCAGAUUUUAAUAAUAAAUAUUUUAAAAAUACAUUAAAAUAUUUUUUUUAACUUUUUUUUGUUUUUAACAUCACCAUAAUAAAAUCAUGGAAUAGCUUGUUUAGAAUCAAAUCAUUAGUGGAAUUUAAUUCAAUUUCAUACAUGAAUUGAAAUUAAAAAAUAAUAUAUUAUAAUUCUUAAAUCCCGUAAUUGAAUUUAAUUUAAACACAUAUGGGAUGAUGAAUUGAAUUGGCUAUUUUGCUUUUAAUUUAGAAAUAAAUUUGAUACAAAAUCAACAACAUAGAUAAAACGUGGAUAUGCAUAUCAUUGGAUUCACCGAAUCAAGUCAUUUUUUUUUUUAGUUUUUCCUGAAUUUGAAGUCCACUACGACUCUGAUAUUUUCAAGAACUGAAGACAUUAACGAGAAAUGAAGACAAGUUCAAUGCAUCAAUUUUGCAAGAACCCUACUUUGCAGUAUUUAUGAUAUUUUCAUUAUUAUUCUGAAGACAGCAAGAGUGACUGAUUUUGCCUGAUGGGAUCGUAACAUGGAAUGAGGGGACCAGUGGGCCAGAUAGGACAAAGAAUUGACUAAAAAAAGAUAAAAUACUUAAUUAACAUGACUGUAACUUUGAUGUUGAUGCCCAACCAAUCCUAAGGCAAGCAAUUUUGACUUAUUGAUAUAGAUAAAACAGCACGGGAAAAUCACAGUCACACACAAGAAAGAUAAAAUUAGUUGAAUUAUGCAUUUAUUAUUGAAUAUUUUUUUUAAUGUGAUUUACUUUUUAAAGGUUUGCAGCUGUUUAAAUAGAUAAAAAUUCAAUCUUUAUAAAUAACGAAAAUGAAAAUUUUAAGCCAAAUAAAAAAGUCAAUAUAUAAUUCAAAAUCAAGUUACCAAUAAAAAAUAAAAAGAAAUAUAAUAAAAUUGGUUAAAACAUCAUCUUUCAAACUUAAUUUAAGAGGCUUUGACGUGAACAAAAAUAACACAAGAAAUAGUUCAAGCACAAGCAACAUAAAAUUUCAUUGAAUAGAAUCACCAUCCAAAAACUCUAAUUUUUUUUACUAAAUAUUUAUUUUUACAUAAUUUAUUGAAAUACAAACUAAACAACUUAUUAGGGAAUACUAAUAUAUCACUGAAUUCUCAAUGAUAUUUAUUCUAAUAAAGAAGCUUGUUUACUCAUGUUUUUAAAAUGAAUUCUAAAAUUUAGUUAUGAAUUCAUGAUCAUUUUCUUUGCAAUUCUCUAGUCUUCUUCUUUUUAUUAAUAAAUAAUUGAAUAAGUCUUCACUUGUCUUUGUAAUUUUUUUUUAUUAACGUGGAUGUUCGGACUAGCUUGCACGUACCUCGACUAAUCUCACGGGUCUUAAAAUUAACUAUCAUAUAAAUAAUCACAGAGCUCAAAUCUAAAACCAAAAAAAAAAAAAGAAAGAGAGAGAUGACUAUCUCCUUUUCUCACCAUGGUCCAUCAAUGACUUUAGAAUACAUUAAAGUCUUUGGGAUACAACCUAUUUCCUUCAUUCUUUGUUUUCAGUGUUAUCCAAUGAAUUGGUCGCUAGUAUUAAAUGUCCGGCUUGUUUAUUUUUUUUGUUUUAAAUUUUUUUAAAAAAAUAUUUAAAUUUUUUAUUUAUUUAUUUCAAAUUAAUAUAUUUUUAGUAUUUUAAAAUUAUUUUGAUAUACUAAUGGAGCAUCCUCGGGGCCCCUACUCUGUUCGUUCAUGGACAGGCAGCAAGCAAGUUCGUCUUCAGUGGCGACAGCAACACUCUGGGCAGUCAGCAGCCAUCGUCGAUAAGUAGGGUUUGCGGUUGGGAGGAAUAUCCUGGAACUAAGUGGCCAUGACCAUAAACGCGUAAGGGGCGCUCUCUUGUCUUUCUUAAAGCCUGAAGUUCUGAAGCAAUAUGUUAGUAAGAUGGAUGAAGAGAUUAGAAAGCAUUUCGAGAUGCAUUGGCGCGGCAAGAAAAAAUGUUUUGGUCAGUGAAUUUUAUCUAAAAAAAGCUAACCUCCACUGAUUAUAUAUAUCACAAGUAAUAUUUUGUGUUUUUGCAGCUUUGAUGCCUUUUAUAUCUGAUUUAUCUCUUGACAACAUAGGCAAUGCCAUCGAUUAAGACCCUCACCUUCAAUAUUAUGAGCUCGCUGAUUAUUGGGAUAGAGGAAAGUGCAAAAAGAGACAUACUCCUACAGCUCUUCGAACAACUAAUGGAGGGUGUUCUAUCAGUACCAUUCAAUUUUCCCUUCACACGAUUCAAUCGAAGCCUCCAAGCAAGUGGGAAAAUCAGACCGAUUUUAGAGGAUCUUAUCCGAGAAAAAAGAGCUGCAUUGGAGCAUGGAACUGCCUUUCCUCAACAAGAUCUUAUCACGACCUUGCUUAGUCUCCGAAACGAGGAGAAUUCAGCAGUAUUAACUGAUGAGGAAAUUAUAGAUAAUGCAAUCGUGAUAAUGAUAGCAGGCUAUGACACCUCCUCCGUCCUCCUCAGUUUGUUGAUCAGGCUUUUAGCCGAUGAUCCAUCU
RNAcentral lists this long non-coding RNA (22305 nucleotides) under Populus tremula. Its description in RNAcentral is "long non-coding RNA (PTRE_LNC002098)". Lineage: Eukaryota; Viridiplantae; Streptophyta; Magnoliopsida; Malpighiales; Salicaceae. The record is from RNAcentral.